AUUCAGUAAAUAUUUCAUCAGGAGAUCUCCCUGCUCCGCCUGCUGCACCUCUUACAACUCCUCUAAAACCCAGAGUCAGCAGAAACAGGUUCACCGUACAGGACUCAGGCGAGUCUGCCUCCGUACACUUUAACUAACUGUGUCUUUGUGUCUCUUUCACCUGAGUCGUUUCUUAAUGAUCCCUGAAUCUCUGUGUUAGCUUCACUUCUGUUAAUAGAUGAGCUGUUGUUCAAGGAGAGCACAAAGCUGCACAACAGCUCUUAAAUUAUAGUUUAGCUGAGAGACUUUUUACAACCUCUGCACAUUAUCCAGCAGAGCUCAGAUACUGUAUAUAUUAUGUAGGGUUUUCUCCCUAUAUGUCUUUAUUCCUGUGUCCGCAGAGUUUUUGUUUUUUGCCUGACUCAGCAGGACACCAUGGAGCCGUAUGGAUCUUUGUUAUUUAAUGAACGACAGAAACAGUCGGCUCUUAGAGACCAAACAACUUUUACAGGUUUCUGCCUGGUGAAUCCUCAGGAAGGAUCAGCUGAGACUCUCCUCACCUCUGCUGGGGGAUUAUAGAUCCACAGUCUCAUCUAACUCAAUAAUCCAUCCACUUCUCCCCACAUUCAUGAAUCACACACUGAGAACAAGAUCUGUCUUUUGACUCUUUAAUUACACUAAAAGGUUUGUUUCCCAGUCGUCCACCUGUAGAUACCCAGAGAGUAAUCUGUAUUUUAUUGGUACCAUUGUAUUCAUUGUAUUCAUACAAUGAAAUGUAUUCUUUAUUAGAAUGUGUUUCAGAUUCAUUUCCUCAGUUUGUUUGGUUGUUUUCAGAGACACAGCUGUAAAGAGUGUCAGUCAAACACAGAGCUGAGAGGGAAUCAUCAGGAGACAAACAGGAACUGACAAACUGUCUUCUGUUCUUUAGGUGUGAGGACUUAUUGGUUGUGUUGGAGUUGCAGUGAAAGAGUGAUGGAGUGGUAGAGAGAAGUGAAAUGAGGCUGACCUCUGAGUUUGUCAUUGCCAGGGUUAAAAUGGAGAUUCUGUCCCAGCAGACAGAGACUGAUGUCCCAUCUUCUCCCUCUCUCUUCUCAUGUUUCUCUUUCCUUUGUCACUCACAUAUUUCCAACCCUCCUCUUCCUGUCUGCAUCACUCUCUCCCCCUGCCUCCCCCUGCCUCCCCCCGCCUCCCUGUGUCCUGUGGGGAUGUUCCCAGGGAGCCAGUGGAGGGUGAGGAUGAUUGAGAUGGAUGUCCCGCUGGCUGGCUGAAGGACAGGGACACAGAUAGAGCCUGCUGGGGUCUCUACAGCAGCAGCUCCGAGUCACUGCUCUGCUGGGCAGCGUUUUCUCACAUCAGCCGCUGAUUGAUGAUGUUUGACAAAAGUGUGAAAAGGUUUGAAGACGGCGGGCAGGUUUGUUGUCCAACACGAGACACAGACAGCUGCCACGCGCUCAGUGCUGACACAUCACUUCAUUAAGACUCUACAGAACCACUGUUUCAGCACAGGUCGUCUUGUUAACCCUGAUAAAGUAAACGUGGACUCCUACAGUAGAGGCCAUAAAUCUGAGCAUCAGAGAAACGAGAGACAGAACAGGUGUGUUGUUGUUCUCCUGAAGUCCAGAACGAGGCUCUGUCACAGGAGGAGGUCACUAAAUGAAAGAUGUGUCAUUCUAACAACUCAGCAAAUGCUCCUGUUGUCUCUGUCAUUUCCUCUGAUGCCGCUGCUGAGUCCUGAAAGAUCCUGUUUAUUGAAUUCAGACGUUUUUAGAAUUAAGGAAGAACUGUGUACAAGUGAAAGGAAAGUGGUCAGAGUACACCAGAGACCAGGGUUCAGACAUCUGAAGGUGUCGUCGUCGUGUGUAGUUUCAGUUAAUUAUUGAUACUAACUGUAACCAAAGAGCUGUGAGCAUCUAAACAUGAACAGGCACAAUCACGACUUGAUGCUACAGGUGGUGGAAGAUAAAGGAACGUAUUGUACCUUGGUAGAUUUGUUAGUUAACAACAUAUCCUCAUCACAUGUAAUUAGCAGCUACAUCUAUAAAUGUAGUAGAAGAAGAGAGCAGCAGAAAAUGUCUGUCCUGUGUGAAGCGGCUCAUGUUCACAUGAACAACAUGACUGUGACCUGAAGCAUCUGAUUCAGCUUCAGGUUAAUGUUUUGCUUUGUGUUGUAGUGAUGAGACUCUGAUGGAGGAGAGAGAGACGAUCCCUCUGCUUUAGGCUCCACACAUGAUGCAACCUGGACUUCAUCCCUCUGCAGCCUCACAGAGUCUGUCCAGAGAUUCAGCUCCUGUUCUCCUCUCCGGCUCGGCCUUUAACACCAUCCACCUAGAGCUCCUACAGACCGAGUCCUCCCAGCUGACUGUGUCUGACCUGAUGUGUCUGUGGAUCACUGACGCUCUGACAGACAGGAAGCAGCAGGAGAGGCUGAGCGAGGCUGAGCUUCCUCUUCUGAAUCUGACCCUCACAUCUGCCGACACAGUCGAGGUAUGAAAACAUCCACCGGAACACAGCGAGACUCGUGCAAAGAACAGUUUCAUAGUCUUAUGUUAAAUCUCUGUUUUUUUUCUUUUUCUUUUUGAAUUCUCUUUUCCAAAGCUAAAUCUAAAGAUUAAAUAAUUAAUAUUAAAUUUCCUCAGCAGCAGUGAAGGAGAAGUUC
This is a long non-coding RNA of Lates calcarifer (barramundi perch), 2635 nucleotides long. RefSeq lists it as uncharacterized. NCBI's taxonomy places the organism in Eukaryota, Metazoa, Chordata, Actinopteri, Centropomidae. The record is from RefSeq and is a predicted model, not a curated record. The transcript is spliced from 2 exons.